RNAcentral lists this ribosomal RNA (410 nucleotides) under uncultured microorganism. RNAcentral's name for it is "bacterial SSU rRNA". It matches the Rfam family "Bacterial small subunit ribosomal RNA", at positions 509 to 917 of the family's 1533-position model. The record is from RNAcentral.
CAGCCGCCGCGGUAAUACGUAGGGUGCGAGCGUUAAUCGGAUUUACUGGGCGUAAAGCGUGCGCAGGCGGCCCGUUAAGACAGGUGUGAAAUCCCUGGGCUCAACCUAGGAAUUGCGCUUGUGACUGGCGGGCUCGAGUACGGUAGAGGGGGGUGGAAUUCCUGGUGUAGCAGUGAAAUGCGUAGAGACCAGGAGGAACACCGAUGGCGAAGGCAGCCCCCUGGGCCUGUACUGACGCUCAUGCACGAAAGCGUGGGGAGCAAACAGGAUUAGAUACCCUGGUAGUCCACGCCCUAAACGAUGGGUACUAGCCGUUUGGUGCGCGAUAGCGCUGAGUGGCGAAGCUAACGCGAGAAGUACCCCGCCUGGGGAGUACGGCCGCAAGGUUGAAACUUAAAGGAAUUGGCGGG